This 253-nucleotide ribosomal RNA is filed under the name uncultured bacterium. RNAcentral's name for it is "partial 16S ribosomal RNA". It matches the Rfam family "Bacterial small subunit ribosomal RNA", at positions 524 to 776 of the family's 1533-position model. The record is from RNAcentral.
UAUGGAGGGUGCAAACGUUGCUCGGAAUCAUUGGGCGUAAAGCGCACGUAGGCGGCGAAGCAAGUCGGGUGUGAAAGCCCUGGGCUUAAUUUAGGAAGUGUAUUUGAAAUUAUUUCGCUUGAAUCUUGGAGGGGGUCAGAGAAUUUUUGGUGUAGAGGUGAAAUUCGUAGAUAUUGGGAGGAAUACCAGUGGCGAAGGCGCUGACCUGGACGAAGAUUGACGCUGAGGUGCGAAAGCGCGGGGAGCAAACAGG